AUUAACUUAAAUAUAUUAAAUAUAUUAAAUUACUUAAAUAUAUUAAAUAUAUUAAAUUUAAUAUAUUUAAGUUAAUA
This 77-nucleotide transfer RNA is filed under the name Malania oleifera. Its description in RNAcentral is "tRNA-Leu". The record is from RNAcentral. Lineage: Eukaryota; Viridiplantae; Streptophyta; Magnoliopsida; Santalales; Ximeniaceae.